UCAAUACAUACAAGAUCUGUUCGUACUCUAGGACUAUUUUGAGUUUUCGAUACCAGCUAUCGAAAUUUGGUUCCAUCAAUUUAUCACUAUUUAAUAGUGAUCGGAGCGAUAAGAUAGUGGCCAUAACUGCAAAAGAAAAAUCAGAACCUAAUUAGAAUAUGAAUUGAUUAAGCCUAAAAAUAUGAAUUUUAGUCUAAAGAUUUUUUUACUACUUUAUUCGAAUUGAUAGCCUCUACCUUCAACUCAAAAAAUUACACUAAUUUUCUAGUAGGUACUAGAAUCCACAUGGACUGCACAUGGGUCCGGGUGUGGCUCGACCAAUCCUUGUGUA
This 331-nucleotide long non-coding RNA is filed under the name Elaeis guineensis (African oil palm). RNAcentral's name for it is "long non-coding RNA (EGUI_LNC022907)". The record is from RNAcentral. Lineage: Eukaryota; Viridiplantae; Streptophyta; Magnoliopsida; Arecales; Arecaceae.